UACAGAGGUCCCAAGCGUUGUUCGGAUUUACUGGGCGUAAAGGGUGUGUAGGCGGCCGGAAAAGUCAGAUGUGAAAUGCCACCGCUUAACGGUGGAUCGGCAUUUGAUACUGUUCGGCUAGAGGACCGGAGAGGAGAGCGGAAUUCCUGGUGUAGCGGUGAAAUGCGUAGAUAUCAGGAGGAACACCGAUAGCGAAGGCAGCUCUCUGGAAGGAUCCUGACGCUGAGACUCGAAGGCCAGGGCAGCAAACGGG
RNAcentral lists this ribosomal RNA (253 nucleotides) under uncultured bacterium. RNAcentral's name for it is "partial 16S ribosomal RNA". It matches the Rfam family "Bacterial small subunit ribosomal RNA", at positions 524 to 776 of the family's 1533-position model. The record is from RNAcentral.